AUGUCGCCGUCACAUGACGCCCCGCCUCUGCUACAAGACUGGUUGGAUGCAUCACUUAAUGAUGCUGCACCAUCUUCUCUUCUCAUACUUUCAAGAGCUUUUACCCUGGCUGGGAGAAUGAAACCCGUGGAUGCUGUUGUAGCAACAGUGUCUUCUUUGCCAGAUGAAGUUGUGGAUACAAUUGGGACAGUAUUGCCAUCUGAAGAUUCGGUUUCUGAGAGGAGGAGAAAACUGAAAUUCCUUGAGAUGCAGGAAGAACUUAUCAAGGAGGAAGAGAAGAAGAAAGAGAAAGAGGAGAAGGCAAAACAAAAGAAGGAAGAAAAGGCAAAUCUCACAGAACAGGAGGCUGGUGAAGAAGAUUUGGCUUUAAAGGAAAUGACUGGGCCUACUGCUAGGCAAGAAGAAGAAAUAAUAUUAGCAAAACAACAUGACCAGGAGCAGCUCUGUAAUAUCAGUCGAACAUUGGCUGUGCUGGCAUCUGCAUCGUCUGUUAGCAAGGAGCGUCAAGAGUUCCUGAGCCUUGUCAACAAGGAGAAAAGGAGAUUGAUGAUAUGGAUGCACAAUUUGGAAACGGCUGGCAACUGCUUUGAUAGGGUCAGCCUAGUGAAGGAUGAUGUUAGCAUACCUCAACCGUGGGAUCACUUGCUGAUGCUGAGGUGUGGAUGCAGAUCUACUUCGACCUCGGGGAGAUGGCCGCCGUCGUGCGUGGUCCUCGGGCAGGGCGUGGCGGCCCUGGCCGCGCCCAGGGGGGGGCGGAGGGGCAGAGCUGAGGAGCAGGAGGCCAUCCCGCAGGUCCAGGAUCGGGUCGCUCCCCUCCAUCAUCAGUGGUCUUUAUGGCGCGACGGGAACCAGAACACCAUCAAGCUGGUCGACAGCGAUGAAUUGAAGGCUUACCGCAUACUUGAGCAGUCAGCGUACAUUGAUAGACUGGAACUUGACAGCUUUGCUAUACCUGAUGGACUGCUUGUGCAGCCAGCUCAUAUCGUCAGGAUGCUCUAUGAUCUCGUUGACUACUACAACAAUAUGAUGACGAUCCGUCGAAAGUACCUCAUGAAGAAGCUUGAUGGGUGUUGGUCUAAGGAGAUGGACCAGAUGCUCAAGACACAUGACAGGUAUCUGGAAAGAGUCAAUGAGAAGCUAGACGCCAUUGCAGAUGCAAGAGGCGAUUGCCCACCCCGGCCAAAGGUCUUCGAUGCCCACCCCAAACUCUGCAAGUGA
Molecule: ribosomal RNA, 1218 nt
Filed under: Triticum aestivum (bread wheat)
Lineage: Eukaryota; Viridiplantae; Streptophyta; Magnoliopsida; Poales; Poaceae
Description: partial small subunit ribosomal RNA
Source: RNAcentral